Molecule: transfer RNA, 64 nt
Filed under: Myxococcales bacterium
Lineage: Bacteria; Pseudomonadati; Myxococcota; Myxococcia; Myxococcales
Description: tRNA-OTHER
Rfam family: tRNA
About the family: Transfer RNA (tRNA) molecules are approximately 80 nucleotides in length. Their secondary structure includes four short double-helical elements and three loops (D, anti-codon, and T loops). Further hydrogen bonds mediate the characteristic L-shaped molecular structure. tRNAs have two regions of fundamental functional importance: the anti-codon, which is responsible for specific mRNA codon recognition, and the 3' end, to which the tRNAs corresponding amino acid is attached (by aminoacyl-tRNA synthetases). tRNAs cope with the degeneracy of the genetic code in two manners: having more than one tRNA (with a specific anti-codon) for a particular amino acid; and 'wobble' base-pairing, i.e. permitting non-standard base-pairing at the 3rd anti-codon position.
Source: RNAcentral
GGGGCGGUAGUUAAGUUGGUUAUAACGCCGGCCUGUCACGCGGGUUCGAGUCCCGUCCGCCCCG